Molecule: long non-coding RNA, 458 nt
Organism: Photinus pyralis (common eastern firefly)
Lineage: Eukaryota; Metazoa; Arthropoda; Insecta; Coleoptera; Lampyridae
Exons: 2
Source: RefSeq, a predicted model, not a curated record
AAGUCGGGCUGACCGAUGUUUUUUUGUUUUGCAGGACGGGGGCGCGCGUGGAAAGCGAUCGGAAAUGGAAUUCCAACGGAUUACCGAAGGAUCUUAGGGGGGAACGAACGCAUUUUUUUGGACUAGCCGGAACCCGUAGAUCCGAACUUGUGUCGUUGUUUCUUAUCACAAGUUUGUAUUUACAGGAACCUGCUGGUUGUAUGCAAGUCGGCGCGCGAAUCUCGUCGGCCCGCCGGCGCUCACGGAGGAGAAGGCUUUUACGGCAGUGUCUGGUUGAGGUAGUAGGUUGUAUAGUAAGUAUUACACCGUUUUGGAGUACUGUACAGCCUGCUAACUUUCCUAGACUCUCGCCAAGUGCAACGUCCACCGCCGAUCGACGUCGCUUACAUUUUUAAUACUCUACCUACACACGUUUGUAAUUUAAGGCAAAUUGUAUCGAAUGGCUCAAUUUGCCUGUU